UAGGGAAUCUUCCACAAUGGACGAAAGUCUGAUGGAGCAACACCGCGUGAGUGAAGAAGGGUUUCGGCUCGUAAAGCUCUGUUGUUGGAGAAGAACGUGCGUGAGAGUAACUGUUCACGCAGUGACGGUAUCCAACCAGAAAGUCACGGCUAACUACGUGCCAC
This 164-nucleotide ribosomal RNA is filed under the name uncultured bacterium. RNAcentral's name for it is "partial 16S rRNA". It matches the Rfam family "Bacterial small subunit ribosomal RNA", at positions 355 to 511 of the family's 1533-position model. The record is from RNAcentral.